GUAACUUUUAAUUAGUACGAAAUGAAUGAGUAAAUUUUCUAUAAAUAUAAAUUGAAAAAUAAAUAUUUUCAAAACUACAAACAUUUAUCAAAAAGAAUUAUCUUAAUUGCAAGGAUGAGAAUGAUUGAUAUUAACUUAAACACAAAAUUCUUUAUAACCUUUUAUUAUGUUUAUUAUAAAUUUUUUUCUUUAUUUAUCCAUUGUCCUACGAAUUUUACAAUUGACUGAAUCAAUUAAUUUUACAAUUCAGCUAUUUUUGAAUAACGAGACAUCGAAUGCAUUACAAAUAGAACCAACAAACGAGUUCUGCAAUCGUGAGUAAAUGUUUAUCAAAGCGUAGAAACAGGUGAUGGAUGAGUAUCACGAUAUGCUGAUGUUUAAAUUCAUUCCAAUUAAUGAUUCGAAAUGGAACGAUUUCGAUGAUUUAAAUAUCGUGUAUGCAAAAUUCUUAUUUGCAUUCGCGGAUCAAUCAUUCGAAUUUGCUUCGUUUAGCAACUACAUUUUCGUACAGUAUACACUUUCUCGACAAAAGCACUUGUAUUCCAAGAUGUUUGAUUUUCCACAAUACUUUUUCCUUUUAUUAAUUGUAUGUAAUAUAAAAAUAUUCGGCAUUUUUUCUGUCGAUUAAGCGAAAACGAGGUACUUUUUUUGAAAAUAAAACGUUGAAUUCAAUCAAUGAAAUAUUAAUAGCUUAUUCUUGAAAUAUUGUAUCCUCAUUUUUCAAGAAAAAGAUUUAGACAUUCGACGUGCAAAUUAAUAAAAAUAUUUUUAACAAAUUUAUAACAUAGAUUUAAAUAUGAUUUGUAUAUAUAAAGAGAUGGAGAAAUUUCUUGCAAUGUUUUCAUUCAAGUAUUUUGAUACAAUUCAAAUUUCUUGUAAAAUAUUUUUUGCGCCAUUACAAUCGAAGAAAAUAUUAAAUCCAGAAACGUAAGUGGACUAUCCCGUGUAAUAAACGAAAGAAAAAAAUUGGACUAAUUUUAAAAUGAAUAUUUCAAAUAAUAAAAUAAAAAUUCGUCGAUAAAAUAGAAAAUAGCACGUUCAAGAUGUACAACGAAUUUGCAAAAAUUAAAAAAAAUUAUUGCAAAUGAAAUACAUUAACAGAAAUAUCUUUAUACGAACGAAAUUUUAAUGAUCAUCUGAAUUCAUCGUCUUUAUAACACGCGAUAAGAAAACAACUAAGCGAUUAAUUAACUUUCAAUUCAAUCAUUUCGGAAAAUUCUUGCUUCAAAUCGUUUACUCUGAUUACAAGUUAAUGUCUCAACCGACGAAAAUGAUCGAUACUUUGUUUCUUCCUCGACGAGUCCACGUUCCAUUCGCGAAAUGUCCAUUAUAUUCCCGUGCCAUUGGCGUGCAAAAAAUGUGCAACCUCGAAUUUUCCACCGAGGGCACUCGAUGCUCGAAGCAAGUGUCGUGCUCGAGGAGAUCAGCACGAUGGGACGAGUUUCUCAUCUCUCUCUCUCUCUCUCUCUCUUCCCCUCCUUCAUCUCUGAAUUAAUAACCCGAACCCUAGUCAACAGAGUUUGCUCUCGAUGGCCGCAAAAAUGCUCGAGAACGCACCAUCUUCGGCGUUCUGAGUUAGGAUCUCGAUUCGUCGUCCAUUGGAGGGGAGGAGUAGCGGCCCAGAGCAGCGUCAGCUAUCUCUCUCUCUCUCUCUUUGUCUUUGUCGUUCCCGCCGUCCGGCGAAUCUCAAUGUGGGUCAACUCUGUACUGGAUUAUGCUCGAGCACGAAUGCACGAUUUCCAAAAUGAGGUCUCGGGAGGUGCUCACCGAACAAGAAGGGACACCGUGUCCGUCCUCUUGCAAACGAAGUCGAAGUCGUUAAGGGAGGGAGGGGGCAAUUGUCCACGGACAACUCGUGGACGAUGAAAGUUUGGGAUUUGGGAUGAGAAUCGGAUUAGGAAGAAACGGAUAGGAUGGGAAUAAUAGGGAUAAUGGCGAUGAGAGAUUGGCGUAAAAAAAAGAUCUGUGAUACGCAGGGUGAAUAAAAUUAUUUGGAAUAUUUCAUUUGGUUUUAUUGAUAGGAUAAAAUGUUUGAAAUGGAAAUCGAAUGGUGCAGAGGGAUAGAUGUUUCUUGCAAUGAUAUCCAUAAAUGUAUAAUGGGUUUUCAUGCAAUAUUCUCUGUAAAAAGAUAUUAAUGUUCAAUUUGUAAUGCUUGUUCCCUGUUUUUUUUGAAAAGGCAAAGUUGAUAUAUGCAGAAAUUUACUAAUAAUAUCGAAAUAAGGAUUUCUCGAUAUAUGCGAAUAAUAGACAGAAUGAUUAUCUUCGUACAGUGUCAAAAGUUUUUCUCUUUGUUUACAAAAUUUCAAUAAUUACAGGAUAUAUCAAAUUGUGUGCAUUAUAGAUUCACGAGUAAAUAUAGCAAUUGAGUACAUCGUUAUUUAUAAUCAAAUUCGAUUUUCAUUAUAUCGCUCACUCAAAAGAAAAAGAAAAGAUACGGAGAUCUUUGAGGAUUAUUCAAUCUGAUUUUCAAUUUCGUGUUGUUGCACUCAUUGUCGAGAAUUCGUUUUGAACAAAUAAAUAAAUGUCCGUGGCGGGCAGUGUACAACGUCUAAGUUAAUGUGGAUGGGCCCUUAUAAGUCGCCAACAAGUUGAGAAGAUCGUCGAUAGAAAAUAAAUAAAUAAAUGUCCAACGUCCUCCAACAAUGAAGAAGAAACGGUGCACGGAAUGUUUACAGACGUCUGUCGGUACAGAUGGACCCUUCUAUUGCUAACGAGCUAAAAGAUCGAUAGAAAAUCUCUUGUAACAGGAUAACUCCUAUUUUGCUAUUUCCUUUCAUUUUUCAGUAGAACAGCGAUUAGAAUAUCCGUAAGGAAGUUUAACUUAAUUCUACAACUUCUGAAAAAUAUAUACCCGUUUUCCUAGCAAGGAUUCCUCGGGUCGAUUAGGAUUUUUUCUUCUUUGGAUAUAUGCGAAUGCAAGCGAACGCACGCUUUAAUAUCGAGGACGCCUCUGUACUAUUUUUGUCCGGUAUAAGGAUAGGGUAGCUGUUUACCAGCCGAUGAAUAAACGGAGGAGACUGCUUCCGCACUUGAUAUAUACGCACAUUACACGUGCGUGCUCUCAAAGAAAUUAUCAUUGGCGAUAAAUUCUACGAUAUUUUGAAACACAAAUUGGGAAUUAUUACCCGUUUGCGAAGUGACAAUAUAGUUGUGAAAUGAAAAUAAUAUAUAAAUUUAAGUCGCUAUAAAGGCGAGUCUCCAUCGACAGAUAUCGUCUGCAAACGCUCGCUGGCAUUGUUCGUUCGAAUAACGCCGCUGGAAGCGUAUAUCGUCCGACGUAAGUAUUGUGCGUCCAUAACUAAUAAUAUUCGAGCCAAUAUCUCUAUUCAGGCGUGUAUUUUAUCUUCGAAUUGUUCGAAUAUAAAAAUCCCAAGAUAUUCCAUUCGCGAUAUGGUCGAUAUAACGUUUUAAAUACUCGUGCAAAUAUUCUUAGCCACUUCUUCUCAGACGUGUGCCCAGGAAUUAUUCUCGUUAUUGGAAAAGAAUCAACUUUGGGCUUAGCCGAGUUGUGCUACGCAUUGAUAAAUAUUUUUGUAAAAUGAAAAUAACAUUUAGAUCCAUGUCAAUUUACGAUCUCACGACAAAUAAGUAUCAUCUGUAGCAAUAUUUGAAUACGUCGUUAAACGUGAUUUAUCUUAGGAACGGAAAAAAUUAUCGUAGUCCAAAAUGCAAUAAUUCGUGUAUCGCAACACGAAAUGAUGUCGUAUAUUUUAAUAAAAUUUUAAACGAAUUUUAAUUAAAACUGAACGCGUUUGCGCCAAUUCCAAGAUUAUAAGGAAGAUUCGUUUCUCAUGUAAUAAUAUCUUGUUUCUUCUUCAAGAAUCGUAAUUCUUGAGCGGCUCAUUAAUUCUCUAUGAUGGGAUGUUCUAGGGUGGAAUGACGUAAAAUCCAGCUUAAGAAAAUAAACGAGCGUUUACAUAAAAGAGGGAAAGAAGGGAUCGAGAAAUUCGGAUUUGGUGGAGAGGGGUCCACCAAUCUCUGUCGACCAUCUUUAAGGAAAACACUAGACGGCUAACUUCUUUAAUCCUUAAAGUCUUCAAAGUUUCAUCACGGAGUUCACCACGGCACGAGCUGUCAAAUACGUUUAGCACAAAAUCUUCCUGUUCCUAAUUUCCCUCGUCGUUUCGUGUCUGCGUAGCUUCUCAUCUUCCUCGUAUCUUGGAAUCAGAGCUUUCGCCUGGGAAAAUUCGUUUACGCUACGUGGUCGACCAAUUUGACUUAUCAAUGUCCAAUUUGCCGGUAACUCGAGAAUAUUAGAUGCUCGUCUUCUGUUUGAAAAAAUUAAAAUAAUGAUACGUUAAUUAUGGAGGAGAAGUUUAUAAAAUCCGUGAAAAUUUUUACAUUUACUUGGAAAAAUUUAGAUAUUAUUCAAUUUAAAUGCCACUGUGGAAGAUAAUUUCCUCUUUUUAAUUAUUGGAAAUAACGAAUAAUGUACUAUUGAAGAGUUUUUUGUAAAAUAAUCGUCUGCAAUAAAAAUUGAUUUAUUGACAAUUAUUCAGAUAAAUUAAAUGGAAUACUCAAAAUUCAAAAUUUGGAUAUAAUAAAGGAAAAAAAAGUUAUUUCUAACUUAUAUCUAUUUAACUGUUUCAUCAAAUAAUAUUAAAUAAUACAUAAAUAAUUAACGAUAAAUAUUUUAAAUGUUUCACCAUUCGAUACUUUUCAAACUUACGGAUAAUAUCAGGUACAUAUCUCGCGGAAAAGAUCGAAAGAGUCAAAGCAUAUUGCACUUGCCAAUGAAAGAGAGUCAUUAGAGUCACCGUGUAAUUGAUAAUACAAACGUCGGUCGAGGUUAAUUCCAUUUGGCCGUUUGAGAACACACGAAUGGUGGAAGUUUUGGCGGGAUGAGUUUUUGGAAUCGAUCCCUGCGGUCUGCAAUGCCGUGCACACAUAGCUUCACGACUAGUUAGGCCGAUCGUUAUCGUUGCUUUUUACAAUUUUUCGCCACAACAUUUCGAAUCACUUGCCCUCGCAAAUGUGCCUGCUCGACCCUCACACCAAGAGAACUCUCGUCCGAUUUCCUGGGAAAAUGGGAGUGUGCCUUGAAUGGAGGGAUUCUGGGUGACGUUCUGCCUUCCUUGGAGAAUAUCCUCUUAGAUUCCCCGACUUUACGUCGAAGAAACGUUUCUUUAAACCAUUCGUUGGCUACACGAUUGUGCUCGUUUCUAUUGCGGCAGGAGAAAAAGGGAAAAAACGAUCGUUUUGAUGUUGUUAUAAAUUGCACUGAAGAAUCUUGGUAAAAUAAGGAUAACAUUUUUCUCUAUUUAUCAUUUCCAACUUGCAUUCUGCGAUGGUAUUUAGGUCGGUGGUGGAAGAUCUGAAUUUGAUCAAUUUUUUUUCGAAAAAAUUAUAAACUAUACUUCUUAUCGUUUCAAAAUUAUUCCUUAUUUGAAAUAUCUAUAGAAAGUGAUAAUACAAGCAUAGUAUAAAAUAAAAAUAAGAAGCAAAAAAAUUAAAUCUUGACGUAUCUCAAAAUUUUGCAUAAAUUAUCUUUCACACGUUAAGCUUCGUUCCACCCUGAUACCCAAUCCUCUCUUCGUCACGAUACAAUGCUCGUUAACAACAAAAAAAAAAAUAGUGAGUCUAAUAAGACCUUGUCAUUUCACGUUUCUCGCAAGGUGUCAAAAAAAAGAGGGGAAAAAAAAAGUUUCCAGGGCCGUUGCACGUUUAAUUGAACACGUGGUGGGCGAGAGAGAAAGAGAGAGAGACCUUGUUCGCCAAUUUUUGAACUCGGGGAAUGGUUGGUCGUAUUCCCGGAGUCUGCGGCAAAAAUAUAAAAUAUCAGUUGGCACGGAUCCCCUUCUAACCCUCUAACCUUUCGAAACCGCAAAAGCGGGGAAAAGCGGGGGGAGGGAAGGCGGGGAGGGGGCCAAUACCGAGCCUAAAUGAUAUGCGGCGAUCCACGUAAACGUAUUGCAGUUGGCUAGAUCGUAAACGAAGACCACCCGCGGGUUUCGCAAUCCCUCCACCACUUUAGCGACUUUAACCCUCCUCGACUAACGAACCGGAUCGUUAUUCAACCCGCUUGUAUCCUCGAGGAUACUACGGUCGCUCGUAAUUUUGAAAUACUGGCGUGGUAUCUUUGGAGGAUCAAGGGCGAGUCGGAAAUUCGAAGGUAUACACCGUGAAUGGUCGUCCAUACCGCAGAGUCGGAGGUUUAUGUGGUAAAACGUGUGUUUGCUGCAAUAAUGAUAUGUUGAUGGAAUGGAUAGGUUGAUGGAAUGGACAAAUAUGUGAAAUGUAUUGUACGUAAUACAUGUGAAAUUUGUGUAUCGUAAUAGAAUAGAGUAUUUUAAUGUAUAGAAUUUUGAGUAUUUCUUUUUUUUUCUACAAGUUUUUCAAUUCGAUAAAAAUUUUACUAAUAAUAUUUAUUGAAGCCUUAUAGAGAGAAUUAAUUAAAGAUUUUAAUUUUUAAUUCUAAUAAUCUUGCUAAUUGAUGGGUAAAAUUAUAGAAUCAACUUAGUAAGUAUAAAUUAUCGAAAGUCUUAAAAAAUUAGGAAUUCUGGUUGUUUCAUUUGCGAUAAUUUAAUGGAAAUGAUUUUAUGAUUUUAGAGAAAAUAACUCUAACAUUUAGAAUGUAAAACUGUUUUACAAAAAAUAUAUAUUGCAUAAAAUGUUGAAUUGAAAGUUAAAAAAUUGCAAAUUUUGAGUUAUAUCAUUGCAGCAAAUAUAUUCGAAUGAUAGCGACAAGAUUCAUUCUCUUUGAAAUAUGGAUAUGCAUUUAUGUAUUACUCUGUAUACUUGACUGAUUACGAUAUAAACUUGAUUCAUUGUGAUUUUCUAAUUAAGUAUUGUUUCUGUCGAUUGCAGAAAGAAAUAAGAAACUAAUAACUAAUGACUUAUGCUCCUUUAUUUGAUUACAAUCCGUCAUCUCGUUUCUUUCGUUCUUUGAAAUAUGUUGAAACGUAAUUUACAAAGUUUCGCGCAUUUUUUACUUUUCAAAUAAUAAAUUUAAUAUAUUUAUUCCAAGAAAAUAAAUAAAACUUUACUUUUUUCAAAUAUUAAAAGAGUAUUAAUAUCGAUUUCGAAAAAUAUCAAACAAUGAAAAUUCAAUUGAAAUCAAAUGUAACAUAACCUAACUUUUUUAACCACGACUUUACAAUCUAUUUCUUUUUCAUGCUUCGGAUUAUUGAUAAAAAAGGAAUAUUAGCUUUCAAGAUAUAAGAUAUAAGAUUGUUUAAAUAUCUCCGAUAAAAUCCUUCCGAAAACUCUUUACAAACUUUAAAAUCGUAACGAUGUUUUCCUUAUAACUUUGAUACAUUUAUCGCAUACUGGCGAUUAUACCUAGCAUCCUGUUAGUGCCACAACACAAAAGACGCGUCAACAAACACGCGAAGCUCCGCUCGAAGAUCGUAUAUACGCUAUUUUUACCGAUCGUUCCUCACGAGUUUCCACGAGUUCGAGUCUAAAAACGCGAGGAGGCCUAUCGAGUACAAAACAAAAAUGCGUAUGAAAUUCAAGAAUCGACGUUUCGAUGGAAAGGAGCUUUAAUCACUUUUUCGAAAAGGAUGAAGACAUUUCCACGAAAGAACCGUGUUUCUAUUAGUGCCUGGCGGAGGCUUGUCCACUUGAAAUAUAGGUAUCUGCAACGUAUACACGUUUUACAACGUGUUUCGCCACUGACGUGCUCUCAACUUCUGAUGUAUAUCAACGUAGUUUUUGUCCUCAUCGUGGAUAAGUAACAAAUCGAAGACAAUUAUUCUUCUGAAAUUUUAUGAUACAGGAUUAAUUAAUUUGACGAGACGAAUGUUUCUUUUAUGUUUAAUUUAUAUUAUAUGUGAAUAUAAUUUUAAGAAUGGGAUAUGAAAUUUUGUUUUUAGAUUUUAUAGCGAAUUUUCUGUGGAUAAUAUUAAAAAAUUGUAAUAAUUUUGUAAUUAAAAAGUGCUUAAAAAUUGUA
Apis cerana (Asiatic honeybee) is the source of this 7894-nucleotide long non-coding RNA. RefSeq lists it as uncharacterized. The record is from RefSeq and is a predicted model, not a curated record. Lineage: Eukaryota; Metazoa; Arthropoda; Insecta; Hymenoptera; Apidae.